This 1040-nucleotide unclassified non-coding RNA is filed under the name Hevea brasiliensis (rubber tree). The record is from RNAcentral. Lineage: Eukaryota; Viridiplantae; Streptophyta; Magnoliopsida; Malpighiales; Euphorbiaceae.
GAGAGAGAGAGAGAGAGAGAGUGAUUUAUCUAGCUUCGCUGCGUCAUAUAGUUCCUUGAUUACUCUACCUAAAAUGUGAAUCACAAUCCUAGUUGGAUCACUAACGUUGAAUUUUUAGUGGACAAGCUGUUUGCUAGAGUGACAGGCCUAGCAGAAAUCAAAACUAAUUUGAAAUGGAAUCAUCCCAUAAUGACAAAAAAAACUGUACUCGGCUUGGUCAGAUUAUAGCUUGAGUGAACAUAUUGAUUGGGGGAUUUUUCAGUAAUGUAAUUUGGUAAGAAUUCUAGUUUUUGCAGGGUGAGAUUUGUCACUCUACCCUGGUGCAAAAGAAGGGAAAAUAGUUUAACAACUGCAAGUACAUUAGUUCGACUUUUGAGUUUUGAGAGUGGUCUCUUUAUGUAAAGAUGGUUUAAGGUAAAGAUAGUAUUAAUCUAUUAGAUCACCCCUAAUAGCCUACAGGAUACUGCUUUAGUGGGAUAACAUUAACAGAUGUCCUUUGAAAGGUAAUGUAUGCCUGUCAAGGGAAAUAUUACCCACCUUUCCCUCCAUUUAUUUUCAUUGACUAUGGCAAACAAUAUAAACUACAUUCUUGAUCGAAUCAUUCUUGGAAAAAGAUAAUCAUCUGUUUUAAUUUAUUUAUAAUUCUUCUUUAGUUAGUUAAAGAGGGAAGUUUGCACGCCUUUCUAAAUGCUUUGCAAAAUGGAAACCCUCAAAAUUUCUUCUUUUGAUGUUAGUUACUUUGUUCAGCUCAUUGAGUUGAGAUGGUUGAAAUGACUUGAUUGAGAGAAGGGAGAUUGAGAUGGCUUGGAGACAUGCAUGAUAGACUAGUAAAAGCCUUGGGAUGAAAGGUUGUGUACAUGAAGAGAUAAGAGUAAUAAAAGGUGGGCCAGUCUUAAGUGAAUUGGAGGGAAGUGGUGAUAAAUGAUUUAAUAAUCCUAGAUCUUUUUGAUGUGAUAGAGCUAUGGAAUGGAGAAAUUGGAUUCAUAUUUCUAACCCCAGCUAGUUUGGGGAUAAAUUUCAACAAUUGUCCCUGAACUUUU